Molecule: transfer RNA, 75 nt
Filed under: Candidatus Edwardsbacteria bacterium GWE2_54_12
Lineage: Bacteria; Candidatus Edwardsiibacteriota
Also listed under: 9 other names
Description: tRNA-Asn
Rfam family: tRNA
About the family: Transfer RNA (tRNA) molecules are approximately 80 nucleotides in length. Their secondary structure includes four short double-helical elements and three loops (D, anti-codon, and T loops). Further hydrogen bonds mediate the characteristic L-shaped molecular structure. tRNAs have two regions of fundamental functional importance: the anti-codon, which is responsible for specific mRNA codon recognition, and the 3' end, to which the tRNAs corresponding amino acid is attached (by aminoacyl-tRNA synthetases). tRNAs cope with the degeneracy of the genetic code in two manners: having more than one tRNA (with a specific anti-codon) for a particular amino acid; and 'wobble' base-pairing, i.e. permitting non-standard base-pairing at the 3rd anti-codon position.
Source: RNAcentral
UCCAGCGUAGCUCAAUGGUAGAGCUCCCGGCUGUUAACCGGGUUGUUGUAGGUUCGAGCCCUACCGCUGGAGCCA